Molecule: ribosomal RNA, 253 nt
Filed under: uncultured bacterium
Lineage: Bacteria
Description: partial 16S ribosomal RNA
Rfam family: Bacterial small subunit ribosomal RNA
Source: RNAcentral
UACGUAGGGGGCGAGCGUUGUCCGGAUUUAUUGGGCGUAAAGAGCGUGUAGGCGGCCAGGUAGGUCUGCUGUGAAAACUCGAGGCUCAACCUCGAGACGUCGGCGGAAACCAUCUGGCUAGAGUCCGGAAGAGGAGAGUGGAAUUCCUGGUGUAGCGGUGAAAUGCGUAGAGCUCGGGAAGAACAUCGGUGGCGAAAGCGCUCUGCUGGACUGCAACUGACACUCAGGGACGAAAGCUAGGGGAGCGAAUGGG